GUGGGGAAUAUUGGUCAAUGGACGGAAGUCUGAACCAGCCAUGCCGCGUGGAGGAAGAAGGUCCUAUGGGUUGUAAACUCCUUUUGUUCGAGAGUAAUAAGAGGCUUGCGAGCCUCGAUGAGAGUAUCGGACGAAUAAGCAUCGGCUAACUCCGUGCCAGCAGCCGCGGUAAUACGGAGGAUGCAAGCGUUAUCCGGAUUUAUUGGGUUUAAAGGGUGCGCAGGCGGGCUGUUAAGUCAGCGGUGAAAUGUCCCGGCUCAACCGGGGCACUGCCGUUGAUACUGGCAGCCUAGAGUACAGACGGCGCCGGCGGAAUGUGUCAUGUAGCGGUGAAAUGCUUAGAUAUGCCACAGAACACCGAUCGCGAAGGCAGCUGGCGAGGCUGGGACUGACGCUCAGGCACGAAAGCGUGGGGAUCAAACAGG
RNAcentral lists this ribosomal RNA (425 nucleotides) under uncultured rumen bacterium. Its description in RNAcentral is "bacterial SSU rRNA". It matches the Rfam family "Bacterial small subunit ribosomal RNA", at positions 354 to 776 of the family's 1533-position model. The record is from RNAcentral.